AUGCAGGAGAUGGCUAAAGUCACUGCAUUGUUUUGGUAAAAAGAAAAAAAAUGAUUUGGUUUUCCCUUUAACAAGAUAUGUCAAUGUGCAUGUGGGAAAAUAGAUAAAUUAGAGUGUACCAUUUUAGACAGAAAAAUGAUGUUUUUACUUAACAAUUCUAAAUUAGACAGACAAAGCUGAACUGGACUCUGUUGCCAGUGGCUACUGGACUUCUAAUUCAAGAAGGCCUUCUG
RNAcentral lists this unclassified non-coding RNA (233 nucleotides) under Hevea brasiliensis (rubber tree). Lineage: Eukaryota; Viridiplantae; Streptophyta; Magnoliopsida; Malpighiales; Euphorbiaceae. The record is from RNAcentral.